GGGCUCAUGGUUCAACAGGAGAACGCCGGUUCCGCACACCGGAGAUGCGAGUGCGACUCUCGCUGGGUCCA
This 71-nucleotide transfer RNA is filed under the name Planctomycetota bacterium. RNAcentral describes it as "Planctomycetes bacterium (groundwater metagenome) tRNA-Ala". It matches the Rfam family "tRNA". From Rfam's summary of the family: Transfer RNA (tRNA) molecules are approximately 80 nucleotides in length. Their secondary structure includes four short double-helical elements and three loops (D, anti-codon, and T loops). The record is from RNAcentral. Lineage: Bacteria; Pseudomonadati; Planctomycetota.